RNAcentral lists this transfer RNA (93 nucleotides) under Deltaproteobacteria bacterium. Its description in RNAcentral is "tRNA-Ser". It matches the Rfam family "tRNA". Rfam says of the family: Transfer RNA (tRNA) molecules are approximately 80 nucleotides in length. Lineage: Bacteria; Pseudomonadati; Myxococcota; Myxococcia. The record is from RNAcentral.
GGAGAGGUGGCCGAGCGGUUGAAGGCGCACGCUUGGAAAGCGUGUGUGCGGCUUAUACCCGUACCGCGGGUUCGAAUCCCGCUCUCUCCGCCA